RNAcentral lists this ribosomal RNA (253 nucleotides) under uncultured bacterium. RNAcentral describes it as "partial 16S ribosomal RNA". It matches the Rfam family "Bacterial small subunit ribosomal RNA", at positions 524 to 776 of the family's 1533-position model. The record is from RNAcentral.
UACGUAGGGUCCGAGCGUUGUCCGGAAUUAUUGGGCGUAAAGAGCUCGUAGGUGGUUUGUCGCGUUGUUCGUGAAAACUCACAGCUCAACUGUGGGCGUGCGGGCGAUACGGGCAGACUUGAGUACUGCAGGGGAGACUGGAAUUCCUGGUGUAGCGGUGAAAUGCGCAGAUAUCAGGAGGAACACCGGUGGCGAAGGCGGGUCUCUGGGCCGAAACUGACGCUGAGGAGCGAAAGCGUGGGGAGCAAACAGG